RNAcentral lists this ribosomal RNA (465 nucleotides) under Vreelandella stevensii. Its description in RNAcentral is "partial 16S ribosomal RNA". It matches the Rfam family "Bacterial small subunit ribosomal RNA", at positions 338 to 795 of the family's 1533-position model. The record is from RNAcentral. Lineage: Bacteria; Pseudomonadati; Pseudomonadota; Gammaproteobacteria; Oceanospirillales; Halomonadaceae.
UCUACGGGCGGCAGCAGUGGGGAAUAUUGGACAAUGGGCGAAAGCCUGAUCCAGCCAUGCCGCGUGUGUGAAGAAGGCCUUCGGGUUGUAAAGCACUUUCAGUGGGGAAGAAAGCCUUGGGGCUAAUACCCUCGAGGAAGGACAUCACCCACAGAAGAAGCACCGGCUAACUCCGUGCCAGCAGCCGCGGUAAUACGGAGGGUGCGAGCGUUAAUCGGAAUUACUGGGCGUAAAGCGCGCGUAGGCGGUCUGAUAAGCCGGUUGUGAAAGCCCCGGGCUCAACCUGGGAACGGCAUCCGGAACUGUCAGGCUAGAGUGCAGGAGAGGAAGGGAGAAUUCCCGGUGUAGCGGUGAAAUGCGUAGAGAUCGGGAGGAAUACCAGUGGCGAAGGCGGCCUUCUGGACUGACACUGACGCUGAGGUGCGAAAGCGUGGGUAGCAAACAGGAUUAGAUACCCGUGUAGUC